AGUAGUAGAAAUCUCAGUAAUGCUGCAGCACAGAAUUGAGCUGGAAAGAGGCAGAGCAUAACGGAUUGUGGAAUAUGUUCAAGUAUGAGUGAGCACCGCUGAGUGGAUUUCCAAAUUUUACAAUUAGUCUCUCCUUUUCUUCCAGUUUCCUUCCUUCCUUCCACACCCUCCCAAUCUUUGCAUCAAGAAACUAUUCAGAAGAAAUGCUGGCACUUAACCAAAGCUGGAAAAGGACCACCAGAAAUGAUCUGGUAGUGGUGAGGCGGCAGCUCAGUCUCGAGACCAGUGAACAGUAAACUGGAAAUCAGAUAACUGCACCCAAGGACCGGAGGGAUUGAUUUUUUGUUUUGACUUAUUGUUUGAAGAUCUGUAACUCAAAGCAGCUCUCACGCCUCUGAUGUCUAAGCUUGAGCAGCAUAAAAGGCUAUUUUUACAACAUGCAGUUUGGCUUGAUCAUGAGACAGGCUGGAACGGAGAAAAAAAAGCCAGCUAAGCUUUUGGAUAGUCCCUGAGUGGAAGUUGCAGUAGAAGCCAAGAACCAGCAUGUCAACUCUGACUACAAGUGAAAGGUUGUUAGUUGGCAGUGUUAAUCUACAGUCAAAAAUAAGACUUCCGGAGUCAAAGCAAGAUCUAACCCGAUCCAGGACCCUCGAGAUGUUUAACUGUAGAGCCAGAGAGGCCAGGCUGGAAUCAAGGUGCUUCAGAGCCCUAUAAUCAGCAAAACCGUGAAGAGGCGUGUUGGUCUUCCCUGGCCUAAGCCCAGGAGUGAAGUCUCUAGAGCCGCCCCCUCCCCAGAUCCCUUAUCCGGGUGUCUCUGAACACUUGGCCUCACGAACUGCACAGCAGCUGGCUGGCCUCCCUCCGGCCCCCUUACCU
Long non-coding RNA from Chrysemys picta bellii (western painted turtle), 876 nucleotides. RefSeq lists it as uncharacterized. The record is from RefSeq and is a predicted model, not a curated record. NCBI's taxonomy places the organism in Eukaryota, Metazoa, Chordata, Testudines, Emydidae.